This 127-nucleotide small RNA is filed under the name Marmota monax (woodchuck). The record is from RNAcentral. Lineage: Eukaryota; Metazoa; Chordata; Mammalia; Rodentia; Sciuridae.
ACAGGGUGUGGUGGUGCACGCCUGUAAUCCCAGCAGCUCAGGAGGCUGAGGCAGGAGGAUCAUGAGUUCAAAGCCAGCCUCAGCAACUUAGCAAGGCCCUAAGCAACUCAGUGAGAUUCUGUCUCUA